UCACCGCUUGCGCGGGCAGUUCCGUUAGAGUCCCCGGCAUUAUCCGCUGGCAACUAACGAUAGGGGUUGCGCUCGUUAUGGGACUUAACCCGACACCUCACGGCACGAGCUGACGACAACCAUGCAGCACCUUGCUGGACGCCCCGAAGGGAAGGCCGGUUUCCCGGCCGGUCGUCCAACAUUUAAGCCCUGGUAAGGUUCCUCGCGUAUCAUCGAAUUAAACCACAUGCUCCACCGCUUGUGCGGGCCCCCGUCAAUUCCUUUGAGUUUCAAUCUUGCGACCGUACUCCCCAGGUGGAUCACUUAAUGCUUUCGCUUGGUCGCUGACAGUGUAUCGCCAACAACGAGUGAUCAUCGUUUACAGCGUGGACUAC
This 374-nucleotide unclassified non-coding RNA is filed under the name uncultured Bacteroidia bacterium. RNAcentral's name for it is "contains 16S-23S intergenic spacer region". Lineage: Bacteria; Pseudomonadati; Bacteroidota; Bacteroidia. The record is from RNAcentral.